Molecule: ribosomal RNA, 253 nt
Filed under: uncultured bacterium
Lineage: Bacteria
Description: partial 16S ribosomal RNA
Rfam family: Bacterial small subunit ribosomal RNA
Source: RNAcentral
UACGUAGGGUGCGAGCGUUAAUCGGAAUUACUGGGCGUAAAGCGUGCGCAGGCGGCUUUUUAAGACAGGCGUGAAAUCCCCGGGCUUAACCUGGGAACUGCGCUUGUGACUGGAAGGCUAGAGUACGGCAGAGGGGGGUGGAAUUCCACGUGUAGCAGUGAAAUGCGUAGAGAUGUGGAGGAACACCGAUGGCGAAGGCAGCCCCCUGGGCCGAUACUGACGCUCAUGCACGAAAGCGUGGGGAGCAAACAGG